UACGUAGGGGGCUAGCGUUGUCCGGAAUCAUUGGGCGUAAAGAGCGUGUAGGCGGCCCGGUAAGUCCGCUGUGAAAGUCCAGGGCUCAACCCUGGGAUGCCGGUGGAUACUGUCGGGCUCGAGUCCGGAAGAGGAGUGUGGAAUUCCUGGUGUAGCGGUGAAAUGCGCAGAUAUCAGGAAGAACACCCGUGGCGAAGGCGGCUUCUGGGACGGUACUGACGCUGAGACGCGAAAGCGUGGGGAGCGAACAGG
RNAcentral lists this ribosomal RNA (252 nucleotides) under uncultured bacterium. Its description in RNAcentral is "partial 16S ribosomal RNA". It matches the Rfam family "Bacterial small subunit ribosomal RNA", at positions 524 to 776 of the family's 1533-position model. The record is from RNAcentral.